GUAUUGGCGGCUCAUUGGCAGAACUCAUGCCUCCCAUGCAGGAGACCUAGGUUCGAUUCCUAGCCAGCUCA
This 71-nucleotide transfer RNA is filed under the name Loxodonta africana (African savanna elephant). It matches the Rfam family "tRNA". From Rfam's summary of the family: Transfer RNA (tRNA) molecules are approximately 80 nucleotides in length. Their secondary structure includes four short double-helical elements and three loops (D, anti-codon, and T loops). Further hydrogen bonds mediate the characteristic L-shaped molecular structure. tRNAs have two regions of fundamental functional importance: the anti-codon, which is responsible for specific mRNA codon recognition, and the 3' end, to which the tRNAs corresponding amino acid is attached (by aminoacyl-tRNA synthetases). tRNAs cope with the degeneracy of the genetic code in two manners: having more than one tRNA (with a specific anti-codon) for a particular amino acid; and 'wobble' base-pairing, i.e. permitting non-standard base-pairing at the 3rd anti-codon position. Lineage: Eukaryota; Metazoa; Chordata; Mammalia; Proboscidea; Elephantidae. The record is from Rfam by way of RNAcentral.